RNAcentral lists this unclassified non-coding RNA (681 nucleotides) under Hevea brasiliensis (rubber tree). The record is from RNAcentral. Lineage: Eukaryota; Viridiplantae; Streptophyta; Magnoliopsida; Malpighiales; Euphorbiaceae.
UCAAGUAAAAUCUACGAGCCUCCUGCAAACAAAAUUGUUAGUUCUGCCAAUUUCUAUGUUCAAAAAAUCAUUAACGUCAUGUUUUAAUAAGAACCAUUGAGUGUCAAAUUGUUAACAUGUAGCAGUUUCUUUAUAAAUUUAACUUUGUUUUGGAUAACCUUCAAGAUAUGCUAGGACAGCAACAGCAAUGAAAACAUAUCUUUCCAGAAGGGUAGAGAUAUUUGGGGUGCACAAUCAUCAAACUAUUAUAUACUCUUAUUAUUUUUUUUACUAUUAUUGGAUGGAAAAUCCUUCCUGAUGUCAAGGCUAUAAGCUACUUUUCUAAGAUACAUGUUUAAGUGUCUUGAAACUCUAUAUGCAAAGGUAUGUACUAAUACUUAAAAAAAGAUGAAUUUACUAGCCAAAAGGUUGAGAGCUACAAAGUUCAAAAUGUGAUUAUGUUGUUUAAUAUUGUUGCCCACAAAGAUAAGCACACUAAGAAAUCCAUCCACCAGUAGAAAAGGCUAAAAUAUAUUGCAUACAAAUAUAAUUUUCCAAAAGAGGUGCAUGGAAAUGGUCACUCUUGCACACAUGCUCACAUAAACUGAUAAACGAACUUGUGCACUGAAGCAUGCCUGCAAAUGAUUAAGAUUAAAGCUAAUAUACUCAAGAUCUUUACCUUGAUACCAGGAAUGGAUCGUG